UCCCUGGUGGCUUAGAGGGUAAACCAUCUGCCUGCAAUGCAGGAGACCCAGGUUCAAUCCCUUGUCGGGAAG
Molecule: transfer RNA, 72 nt
Filed under: Bos taurus (domestic cattle)
Lineage: Eukaryota; Metazoa; Chordata; Mammalia; Artiodactyla; Bovidae
Rfam family: tRNA
About the family: Transfer RNA (tRNA) molecules are approximately 80 nucleotides in length.
Source: Rfam by way of RNAcentral